RNAcentral lists this ribosomal RNA (468 nucleotides) under uncultured bacterium. RNAcentral describes it as "partial 16S ribosomal RNA". It matches the Rfam family "Bacterial small subunit ribosomal RNA", at positions 28 to 507 of the family's 1533-position model. The record is from RNAcentral.
GACGAACGCUGGCGGCGUGCUUAACACAUGCAAGUCGAACGGAAAGGCCCUGCUUUUGUGGGGUGCUCGAGUGGCGAACGGGUGAGUAACACGUGAGUAACCUGCCCUUGACUUUGGGAUAACUUCAGGAAACUGGGGCUAAUACCGGAUAGGAGCUCCUGCUGCAUGGUGGGGGUUGGAAAGUUUCGGCGGUUGGGGAUGGACUCGCGGCUUAUCAGCUUGUUGGUGGGGUAGUGGCUUACCAAGGCUUUGACGGGUAGCCGGCCUGAGAGGGUGACCGGCCACAUUGGGACUGAGAUACGGCCCAGACUCCUACGGGAGGCAGCAGUGGGGAAUAUUGCACAAUGGGCGGAAGCCUAAUGCAGCAACGCCGAGUGCGGGAUGACGGCCUUCGGGUUGUAAACCGCUUUCGCCUGUGACGAAGCGUGAGUGACGGUAAUGGGUAAAGAAGCACCGGCUAACUACGUG